GAUGAACGCUGGCGGCGUGCCUAAUACAUGCAAGUCGAGCGAACAGAUAAGGAGCUUGCUCCUUUGACGUUAGCGGCGGACGGGUGAGUAACACGUGGGUAACCUACCUAUAAGACUGGAAUAACUCCGGGAAACCGGGGCUAAUGCCGGAUAACAUUUAGAACCGCAUGGUUCUAAAGUGAAAGAUGGUUUUGCUAUCACUUAUAGAUGGACCCGCGCCGUAUUAGCUAGUUGGUAAGGUAACGGCUUACCAAGGCAACGAUACGUAGCCGACCUGAGAGGGUGAUCGGCCACACUGGAACUGAGACACGGUCCAGACUCCUACGGGAGGCAGCAGUAGGGAAUCUUCCGCAAUGGGCGAAAGCCUGACGGAGCAACGCCGCGUGAGUGAUGAAGGGCUUCGGAUCGGAAAACUCUGUUAUUAGGGAAGAACAAAUGUGUAAGUAACUGUGCACGUCUUGACGGUACCUAAUCAGAAAGCCACGGCUAACUACGUG
RNAcentral lists this ribosomal RNA (497 nucleotides) under uncultured bacterium. Its description in RNAcentral is "partial 16S ribosomal RNA". It matches the Rfam family "Bacterial small subunit ribosomal RNA", at positions 28 to 507 of the family's 1533-position model. The record is from RNAcentral.